UAUGGACAAUAGGAAAUGGGGAUUACAGAAACGUCUCUUUCUCUCUUCUCUCUCUUUUCUCUCCUCUCUCCCCUCUCUCAUCUUUGCUACUGGCGGCCCUUCUACUGAAAGAAGAAACUCACCAGCUCUGCUAAUGAAAGAAGCAACUCACCGGAUUCAUCGCCACCUCAGUUAUCACCAAAAUUUAUUUCAGAAGGAGCCUCUAGCACCAAUUAUCCUUUUUUUCCAGAACUUGGGAAAGUUGGAAGAGAAUAACAUCAUAUCUGCAACGUAAUACACCCACUCAAGUGUUAAUCAUCAGGAUUCUGGAGAUGCUUAAUUCACUCACUUGAGCUAUUGGAAUGCAUUUGAAGAUAGACAUUUUGCACCUUAUCCGCCGCGUGUCAUGAGCUCCCUACUAACGAUAUACUUUUCUCUCCAUUGAGUUAAAUAAAAUUGGGUUCUAUUCACGAAAGACCACCAGAAGUGGGCACAAAAGGUGGCUUAUAGAAGAGUAGGGAAUGAGCAAAUUGGGAUAUAGCUUUAAGUAUUAGGUAGUGUAAGUUUAUGUCCAAUUUCAAUCUGGUUAAAGGAGGAAUUUGUAGAGGCAUAUGUUGGUAAUUUGGUAGUAAUUGUUAAGAAACUCCAUUUUCGAUGUUACUUGAGAUCUAAUAAUGAAGUGUAAAUACUCCAUUCCAA
Molecule: long non-coding RNA, 678 nt
Organism: Macadamia integrifolia
Lineage: Eukaryota; Viridiplantae; Streptophyta; Magnoliopsida; Proteales; Proteaceae
Exons: 3
Source: RefSeq, a predicted model, not a curated record